GGAAUCUGAAAGGUGACCGACCCUUCCGGGGAGCCUGCACAGGUGCUGCAUGGCUGUCGUCAGCUCGUGUCGUGAGAUGUUCGGUUAAGUCCGCUAACGAGCGCAACCCUCGCCGUGUGUUACAUGUGUCACGCGGGACCGCCGGUCUUAAGCCGGAGGAAGGUGGGGAUGACGUCAAGUCAGCAUGGCCUUUAUAUCCUGGGCUACACACACGCUACAAUGGCCAGUACAACAGGUUGCGAAGCCGCGAGGCGGAGCCAAUCCUUAAAAGCUGGCCUCAGUUCAGAUCGCAGGCUGCAACUCGCCUACGUGAAGAUGGAGUUGCUAGUAACCGCAGGUCAGCUAUACUGCGGUGAAUACGUUCCCGGGCCUU
RNAcentral lists this ribosomal RNA (373 nucleotides) under uncultured Anaerolinea sp. RNAcentral describes it as "bacterial SSU rRNA". It matches the Rfam family "Bacterial small subunit ribosomal RNA", at positions 996 to 1382 of the family's 1533-position model. The record is from RNAcentral. Lineage: Bacteria; Bacillati; Chloroflexota; Anaerolineae; Anaerolineales; Anaerolineaceae.